AUGUUUGUAUUGCAGGUUCUUGAUUUCUUGGGUAUAGACAAGAUACCAUCAAAACACAUCCUCGAGAGGUGGACAAAAGGUGCAAGAGAUAUACUUCCACAACACUUGGCACACCUGCAGAAAGAACAGAUUUCAGUUAACUCCAUUACAUUCAGGCAUUCAAAUCUAUAUACCCAUGCUUUGGAGGUCGUCAAACAUGGUGACGCAAACCCAAUUGCAUAUGAUUGUACAAUGGAGCUUCUUAGGGCAGCAAUGGAUAAACUAACGCCUUUAGCUGAUGAUCAUGGUGGACUGGGUUUAGACCAUAGAAUUGAGUUCAACAAGGCAAAAGGUACAUAA
This 339-nucleotide ribosomal RNA is filed under the name Triticum aestivum (bread wheat). RNAcentral's name for it is "partial small subunit ribosomal RNA". The record is from RNAcentral. Lineage: Eukaryota; Viridiplantae; Streptophyta; Magnoliopsida; Poales; Poaceae.